GACGAACGCUGGCGGCGUGCUUAACACAUGCAAGUCGAACGGUGAAGCUCCAGCUUGCUGGAGUGGAUCAGUGGCGAACGGGUGAGUAACACGUGAGCAACCUGCCCCUGACUCUGGAAUAAGCGCUGGAAACGGCGUCUAAUACUGGAUACGAGAAGGGUCCGCAUGGGCACUUUCUGGAAAGUUUUUCGGUUGGGGAUGGGCUCGCGGCCUAUCAGCUUGUUGGUGAGGUAAUGGCUCACCAAGGCGACGACGGGUAGCCGGCCUGAGAGGGCGACCGGCCACACUGGGACUGAGACACGGCCCAGACUCCUACGGGAGGCAGCAGUGGGGAAUAUUGCACAAUGGGCGAAAGCCUGAUGCAGCGACGCCGCGUGAGGGAUGACGGCCUUCGGGUUGUAAACCUCUUUCAGCAGGGAAGAAGCGAAAGUGACGGGACCGGCAGAAGAAGCACCGGCUAACUACGU
This 467-nucleotide ribosomal RNA is filed under the name uncultured bacterium. Its description in RNAcentral is "partial 16S ribosomal RNA". It matches the Rfam family "Bacterial small subunit ribosomal RNA", at positions 28 to 506 of the family's 1533-position model. The record is from RNAcentral.